RNAcentral lists this long non-coding RNA (1079 nucleotides) under Eucalyptus grandis. RNAcentral's name for it is "long non-coding RNA (EGRA_LNC000443)". Lineage: Eukaryota; Viridiplantae; Streptophyta; Magnoliopsida; Myrtales; Myrtaceae. The record is from RNAcentral.
AAGAAGUGACCUGACAAAAAAAAAAGGAAAAGAAAAGCCCCCCCACGCGACUGUUCAUCUUCCUCGCGAGGGGGGGGUCUCUGCCGGCGCAAUCGCCGUCCACUCCCUCCGGCGUCCGACCGUGCCGUCCCCGCUCGCCCGCGCUGGCAUCCGAGCCCCGACGCCUGCAGCGCCCCCGAAACCGGCGCCCCUCCUCCGUCCAGAUCUGCUCAGCGCUUCUGCUCGAGCUUGAAACCGGUCGUUGCACCCCCUUAAUCGAGCGACCAACUGAGCCGCUUCCACCGCUCCAAAUCUGGACGCCGACGGCCAGCUGUACCACCAGAUCCCGAUGCCGGCGGAUCUGAACCGUCGGCAAGCAUCCGCGUUUGCGCCCGUCCCCGACGCCCGCUUCAGCAGAUCCCGAAUCCUUUCUCUCCGAGCGACGACCGCCCCUACUCUGACCACGAUCUGCCCAACCCAGCGCCCAAAGGCUCUGCCGCGCCUCCGUCUGCUACCCCCGCGUUGGCUGCCGCUGCUUCAGAUCUGCCCGUUGCAACAACCCGCGACGCCAGCCCACGCCGGUCGCUGCGCCUCCUCGGCUUGCAGCAACUCGUGACGACGACGCCACAGUAGCUCUCAACCGCAAGCCGGCCGUCGCCACUCUUGCCCUCUGCCCGAGCAUCGACGCCACUACAGCCCGCACCUGAGGUCCUCCAACCGCGACGCCCCUCGCUGAUACCCCGCGCCGGAGCUCCGACGACUCCGCCCUGCCUCCAGCCCUAGCCGACCCGCGACGCCAGCCCGCGCCGAUCCCCGAAGCUCCUGUUGCUGUUCCGCCGUCGCGCCGCUCCGGAGCCUCGCCGGAACCCUAGCCGGCGAUCUCCCCUGCCGGACCGGCCACCGGAUUUAUUUUUCUUUUUCUUUUUCAAAAAAAAAGAAAAGAGAAAAAAGAGAAAAAACAAAAGAAAAUUUAGGUAUUUUCUUUAUCUUAUUUUUGUUUUAUUUUUUUUGCUAUUUUAUUUUAUCUUUUUAGUGUAAUUAUUCAUUUAAUGUGAAAUUGAAAUUCCAUGAUAUGAAAUUGCCUUGAAAUUAGUGAUUGU